AGAGUUUGAUCAUGGCUCAGAACGAACGCUGGCGGCAGGCCUCAAACAUGCAAGUCUAGGGGGUGUAGCAAUACAUCACCGGCGGACGGGUGCGUAACGCGUGGGAAUGUACCUAUUGGUUCGGAACAACUGCGGGAAACUGCAGCUAAUACCGAAUGUGCCCGUAAGGGGAAAGAUUUAUCGCCAAUAGAUCAGCCCGCGUAGGAUUAGCUAGUUGGUGAGGUAAUGGCUCACCAAGGCUCCGAUCCUUAGCUGUUCUGAGAGGAAGAUCAGCCACACUGGGACUGAGACACGGCCCAGACUCCUACGGGAGGCAGCAGUUGGGAAUCUUGGACAAUGGGGGAAACCCUGAUCCAGCCAUGCCGCGUGAGUGAUGAAGGCCUUCGGGUUGUAAAACUCUUUCGACGGGGACGAUAAUGACGGUACCCGUAGAAGAAGCUCCGGCUAACUUCGUGCCAGCAGCCGCGGUAAUACGAAGGGGGCUAGCGUUGUUCGGAAUUACUGGGCGUAAAGCGCGCGCAGGCGGCUAUCCAAGUCAGUGGUGAAAGCCCGGAGCUCAACUCCGGAACUGCCAUUGAAACUGUUUAGCUUGAGGACGAGAGAGGUGAGUGGAAUUCCCAGUGUAGAGGUGAAAUUCGUAGAUAUUGGGAAGAACACCGGUGGCGAAGGCGGCUCACUGGCUCGUAUCUGACGCUCAGGCGCGAUAGCGUGGGGAUCAAACAGGAUUAGAUACCCUGGUAGUCCACGCCGUAAACGAUGAAUGCUAGCCG
RNAcentral lists this ribosomal RNA (770 nucleotides) under uncultured bacterium. RNAcentral's name for it is "bacterial SSU rRNA". It matches the Rfam family "Bacterial small subunit ribosomal RNA", at positions 8 to 822 of the family's 1533-position model. The record is from RNAcentral.